UAAAUUGUUGUUGAAUGAUUUAUAGUGGUCGCCACGGUCAUUUAUAGUUGUAGAUCGAAAAUAGUCUAAUCUGUGAAGUCAUCAUCAAA
Molecule: long non-coding RNA, 89 nt
Organism: Leptinotarsa decemlineata (Colorado potato beetle)
Lineage: Eukaryota; Metazoa; Arthropoda; Insecta; Coleoptera; Chrysomelidae
Source: RefSeq, a predicted model, not a curated record